AUUUAAUAACUGGUUGAACCUCCUUUGGCAGCAAUAACUUCAACCAAGCGUUUACUGUAGUUGCAGAUCAGAUGUGCACAACGGUCAGGAGUAAUUCUUGACCAUUCCUCUUUACAGAACUGUUUCAGUUCAGCAAUAUUCUUGUGAUGUCUGGUGUAAAUCGCUUUCUUGAGGUCAUGCCCAGCAUCUCAAUCGGGUUGAGGUCAGGGCUCUGACUGGGCCACUUCAGAAGGCGUAUUUACUUCUGUUUAAGCCAUUCUGUUGUUGAUUUACUUCUAUGCUUUGGGUCAUUGUCCUGUUGCAACACCCAUCUUCUGUUGAGCUUCAGCUGGUAGACAGAUGGCCUUAAGUUCUCCUGCAAAAUGUCUU
Molecule: long non-coding RNA, 369 nt
Filed under: Pelobates cultripes (western spadefoot toad)
Lineage: Eukaryota; Metazoa; Chordata; Amphibia; Anura; Pelobatidae
Source: RNAcentral